This is a long non-coding RNA of Bubalus bubalis (water buffalo), 1631 nucleotides long. RefSeq lists it as uncharacterized. Lineage: Eukaryota; Metazoa; Chordata; Mammalia; Artiodactyla; Bovidae. The record is from RefSeq and is a predicted model, not a curated record. The transcript is spliced from 5 exons.
AAGACCUAAAUACCGGGUCCAAGACGGGUAGAAAAUCGAUGAUCGUUGUGAUGUCACACCCCUAAAAAGUCUCCCCCGGAAAGGGAAGAUUUAACACGACAGGCACGGACGGGGUUCGAACCCGUGAUCUUCGGUUUACGAGACCGACGCCUUACCACUUGGCCACCGCGCCUGCGUUAGAAUGGCGGCUCGGCGAGCCUCUAUCCUGGCGCCGCUCCCUUGCGCUCGCGCCGCGAGCACGAGCGCGGGCCCAGCGCGCGCGCCCGCCCGGCUCCGCCCCCUCGCGCUGCCGGCGGGGCGGGGCUCCAGCGUGCGCGCGGGGCUGUCCGGCCGCUCAUGCCUGUCCGAGCCGGGCCCGGGCGGAGUCCGCCGGGUUUUCACUAGCUCUCCAGAACUGGGGAGACUCGUCUGGAGCUCGGGAGCGGGCGGGACGCUCGCCGGCGUUUCAUAGUCUGGGGUUCGAAUCCCAGCUCCGCCAGAGAGACUUGGCGACCUUGGAUGACCGGUCUCGGGGCCUCAGUUUCCCCUCUCGGGUGAGACAUCCAAGAGGCGGAGGAAAGGUUGCGGACCCUUGGGGGCGGUCCACCGCUGCCCUGCACGGAGCUGACGCUCAACAAGAGCUGUUGAAUGAAUGUGUACGUGUAAGUUUUCUGAAGUAAAAACUCCCAAACUCCUCCUCCUCUGAGCCCCGGGGAUGUGCCUGGCCCCAGUACCAGCAGCAGCACCUGGGAGCCGGUUAGAACUGCAGCUUCACCCCCGCUCGUCCCAGACCUGCCGAAUUAGACCAGUUGCUGGAGCCCAGUAAUCUGGGCGGUAACAGGCUCUCCAGGUAUCUGCACCGCCUCCUUCUGAAAAGACAAUACACUUGCCAAAGACCAAUCAUUCAUCUCUGAUUAAAAACUCAGAAUCUCAAAGAACAUCCAAAACAAAAUGAGGGCCUAUGCCUGCUCUCUGGAAACUUGAUGUCUAAUGAGAAGCAAUGUUUUCAGGUAUUGAUCUGCAUGCAUGCAAAACUGCUUCAGUCGUGUCUGAGUCUGUGCGACCCUAAGGACUGUAGCCUGAGAGGCUCCUCUGUCCAUGGGAUUCUCUAGUUUCUUACAGGUGGAACCGUCAUGAAGCUGUUACCAGGCAGAUAGCUGAGGUGACAGAAAUUCUCUGUUACUAAAAGCUAAGACCAUGCUAAUAGCUGUCUGAUGUCCUGACCUACUCAGACAGAAACAGAGAACAGACAACCCAAAUGGGUCAGGUUCCAAUGAAGCUGAGGGGCCAGUCACACUUGCCCUGUAAACUCUGACAAGAGAGUAUAAAGUGUAGCUGCUCCGACUACUUCUGAUGGUUCCAAGUGGGAGACAGGCUGGCAUCACGGGAUGCAGUACAGAAGACAUACAUGGGAUGCAGAAGCAGUAUGGGAGACAUACUGCUUCUACAAGCUGGCAUUAGUUAGUGCUCAUGGUGCUGAAUUCAACUAAUCACUCUUUCUGUACCAGGCCCUGUGCUAGGUGUUAAAGAUACACACCUCUAUUUCAGAUAAUGGUGAUAAAUGCAGUAAAGAAGAUAAUGUUGAAGCAUACAGUCCCUAACAAAUAGAUAUUCAUGAAUGAGAAGAAAUGCUGUAAGAAAAUAUCCAAACA